RNAcentral lists this long non-coding RNA (1629 nucleotides) under Lactuca sativa (garden lettuce). RNAcentral's name for it is "long non-coding RNA (LSAT_LNC007098)". Lineage: Eukaryota; Viridiplantae; Streptophyta; Magnoliopsida; Asterales; Asteraceae. The record is from RNAcentral.
GGAUAAUUUGUUUGUAUAAACGAACUAUAUAGGCACAUGUAUCCCACCCCCACCCCUACCCCCCGAGAUAAUUAAAAUUAAUAAAAAAAGGCCGUAACGCUCGCCCUUGAAGUGUGAGUUCGAGUUGUUCGGAGUUUGUUUAUUUUUGGGAAGAUUGACGUGAGAAACCGUAAAGUCACGUCUCUUGAACUUUGAAAUAUUUCGGGCACCGUUUCGUAACGUAUUUAAACUAUUGGGAGCUGUUGAAUAUUUUAAUUAACCAAAAUAUGACUACUUUGGUUAAAAUAAAUCAAGGGAGGGGCUGAAAUGGUUUAAAUGGAAAUUAAGUUUGGGAAUUGGAUUCAUUUUGUUAAGAAAUCUCCAUGGGAGGGGCUAUUUUGAAUAAAUGGGUUCAAUGUUUGGGGUUGGGACUGAUUUUGAAUAAAUGAUUUAAUGAGGUUAGUUUGGUCAUUUCACAAAGCUAAAUGAAAUUAGGGCUUUGAUGCCCCAGUUUCCUUGUUUGGACGAUUAGAGGGAUAAUUGAAUGAAACUGAUGAACGAAGGCGAUUGGAGGGAUGACGAUGUCAGUCGCCCAUUCGUUGAUCGGGCAAAGGAAAAGAACUGAUCGAAGGCAAGACAAAACGAACGCCUCCGGUGGUCCAUCUGGCGAGCAAAGAAGAAGAAAUACGGGAACGAAAUCAGAAGAAGGAAACACGCAGGCGAUGACUCUGCAUCUGGGUCCUUGCUCGUCGGAGGUGACGAAGAAGCCCGAAGGAAGAAGAAGCUCGCAGGCGGCUAAUGCGAAAUUUUUUUUCGAUUGAUCGCGAAGGGAACGUCUCCGGGGGUUGGCGGGGCCGAAGAGACGGAGGGAAGAGCAGGGAGGCUGCGCUAUUUCUGUCAGAUAGCGAGAGGCUAAAGGGAAAGCGGUUCAGUGGUUUUUGGAUCGAGGGUGUGGUGUGGCUAAGAGGUUGUGAAGGGAGGGAAAAGGAGAACAGAUGCAGCGGUGCUUCUGGUGGUCUCGGUGGGUGCAGCGUGGGCUGCUCAAACGGUUUGCCUUCGUUUUCUUUUCUUCUUCGUUUUUUUUUUUUUUUUUUUUUUUUUUACANGGGUUGUUUUGUUAAAUAAAAAAAAAAAAAAAAAAAAAAAACGAGGGAGGCUGCCACGAGGAAGAAGAAGGAAGAGAAGAACGAAGGAAGAAUGAACUGGAAGCUGUGGUUCUUUUUGUUUGCAGGUAAACACGAGAAUAAGAACAAGAAUGUUCUUGACUGGAAACAAAGAUGCAGGCAGAAAAUAAAGGUUUCCAGUUGAAGAUUUAAAUUGUUAUUGGUUGUUUGUGAAUCAAGCAUUUGUGAUCGGUUGUUUUUUUUUUUUAUCGUUGUAGAGUUGUUUUUGAGUGUGGUAUUGGUUGAAGGAAGAGUGCAAGCAAGCUUCAGAGAUGCUUUCUUUCCUUUGUGUGUAAUUUUAGAUGUGCAAGAAUUAAUAGCUGUCAUUUGGGUACAAUAUGUGUAUUUUGUGUGAAAUUUGCAAAUAAUGAAUUUCUUUAUGUAUUAUGUGUAUGUAUUGAUAUAUUAAUUUAAUUGGUCAUUUAAUUGUGUGUAUUUUUGAAAAUUAGAUGGUAGAGAAAGGGAUAAAAAUUAUGUAAAAAGAAUA